Molecule: long non-coding RNA, 911 nt
Organism: Schistocerca piceifrons (Central American locust)
Lineage: Eukaryota; Metazoa; Arthropoda; Insecta; Orthoptera; Acrididae
Exons: 3
Source: RefSeq, a predicted model, not a curated record
UUUGCGGUUGAGGACGAAUAGUGCCGUACUGCCGUGCUGUUUUCGUUAUAAGGAAUUCAAUGAAAGUAAAGCGCUAUGUUGUGUCCUGCUCUCGUGGAGUACCGAUUAAAUGGAAAUGGCUGUAAACUAUUUAAAAAUCUGGCUCAUCAGUUGAUGUUUAGCGACGUACAAAACUUUUAUCGUUACCAUUACUUCGUUACGUUCUGUCUUAAACCUAAAAUUUCCAGAAAUUGAAGCAUAAAAUACUACGUGACCUUUACAAAACACCAAUAGAACUUCGGGCGUGUAUUAUGCUGAUGGAAUACUACUAUUGUAUGUUGGGUUUUGAGCAGGAAAACCUAGAUUAAAUUUUAAAGUCAGUAUGGCUACCUUCACAAUGCAGUUCAUAGUAACCUCCCUCGCGUUCUGUUCCUUUCUUUCCAGUCUUGAAGCAUUCGUUUACACUAACUCAAGGAGCACCGGUGUUUCAUUAUAUCUGCCUUAACUUGUUUUAAUGAUACGUCUAUGCUGUCUUUUGCGUAAAUACGGCAUAACUACUUGCAUCCUGUACUAAUGUUUACGUUUUUGUGGCCGUUUGUGUUUCUGAGCGCGGGAAUCGCUGCAACUCGAAGCAAUGGAUGUAGCAACGUUUUGCAGGGAACUUCCCAAAUUGGAACUUCAUGCUCACUUAAAUGGAUCGUUAAGUAGUAGAACCCUGAAUGCCCUUCGUCAACUACAGAACAGUUCAGACGCUAGCGGUGAUUCGUGGAAGAAAUGUGAAGCUAUCAUCAACCAUGGGAAUGAACGAACUUUAGAUGAGCAGUGUGUUGUCAUCGAAUAUGUCAAUGCAUGGAGAGAAACAUUCACAAAUAUGUGUGUGAAUCUGUGAAGCAUGUGCAGUCAACAGGAGUACAAUUGGUCAUGACACAGAG